RNAcentral lists this ribosomal RNA (450 nucleotides) under uncultured bacterium. RNAcentral describes it as "partial 16S ribosomal RNA". It matches the Rfam family "Bacterial small subunit ribosomal RNA", at positions 354 to 796 of the family's 1533-position model. The record is from RNAcentral.
GUGGGGAAUAUUGGACAAUGGGGGGAACCCUGAUCCAGCCAUGCCGCGUGUGUGAAGAAGGUCUUCGGAUUGUAAAGCACUUUAAGUUGGGAGGAAGGGUAGUAACCUAAUACGUUGCUACUUUGACGUUACCGACAGAAUAAGCACCGGCUAACUUCGUGCCAGCAGCCGCGGUAAUACGAAGGGUGCAAGCGUUAAUCGGAAUUACUGGGCUUAAAGCGCGCGUAGGUGGUUCAGUAAGUUGGAAGUGAAAUCCCCGGGCUCAACCUGUGAAGUGCUUUCAAAACUGCUGAGCUAGAGUACGGUAGAGGGUGGUGGAAUUUCCUGUGUAGCGGUGAAAUGCGUAGAUAUAGGAAGGAACACCAGUGGCGAAGGCGACCACCUGGACUGAUACUGACACUGAGGUGCGAAAGCGUGGGGAGCAAACAGGAUUAGAAACCCCGGUAGUCC